GUAGUUAGCCGGAGCUUCCUCCAAAGGUACCGUCAUUAUCUUCCCUUUGGACAGAGGUUUACAAUCCGAAAACCUUCUUCCCUCACGCGGCGUUGCUGGGUCAGGCUUGCGCCCAUUGCCCAAUAUUCCCCACUGCUGCCUCCCGUAGGAGUCUGGACCGUGUCUCAGUUCCAGUGUGGCCGAUCAGCCUCUCAGCUCGGCUACCCAUCGCUGACAUGGUGGGCCGUUACCCCGCCAUCUAUCUAAUGGGACGCGAACCCCUCCAAUUGCGGAUUGCUCCUUUGACCUCAUCCCGAUGCCGGGUCGUGGUCUUAUGCGGUAUUAGCACUUGUUUCCAGGUGUUAUCCCCCUCAACUGGUCAGGUUGUUCACGCGUUACUCACCCGUUCGCCACUAAGCUAUAUCCGAAAACAUAGCUCCGUUCGACUUGCAUGUGUUAGGCACGCCGCCAGCGUUCGUCCUGAGCCAGAAUCGAACCCUGA
This 481-nucleotide ribosomal RNA is filed under the name uncultured bacterium. RNAcentral describes it as "partial 16S ribosomal RNA". The record is from RNAcentral.